UACGUAGGGACCAAGCGUUGUCCGGAAUCAUUGGGCGUAAAGAGCGUGUAGGCGGCUUGUUAAGUCUGAUGUGAAAGCCCUGGGCUCAACCUGGGAAUGGCAUUGGAAACUGGCGACCUAGAGUGCGGUAGAGGGUAGUGGAAUUCCCGGUGUAGCAGUGAAAUGCGUAGAGAUCGGGAGGAACAUCUGUGGCGAAGGCGACUGCCUGGACCAGCACUGACACUGAGGCACGAAAGCGUGGGGAGCAAACAGG
This 253-nucleotide ribosomal RNA is filed under the name uncultured bacterium. Its description in RNAcentral is "partial 16S ribosomal RNA". It matches the Rfam family "Bacterial small subunit ribosomal RNA", at positions 524 to 776 of the family's 1533-position model. The record is from RNAcentral.